CCUACGGGAGGCAGCAGUGAGGAAUAUUGGUCAAUGGGCGCGCGCCUGAACCAGCCAAGUAGCGUGAAGGAUGACUGCCCUACGGGUUGUAAACUUCUUUUAUAAAGGAAUAAAGUCAGGCACGUGUGCCCGUUUGUAUGUACCUUAUGAAUAAGGAUCGGCUAACUCCGUGCCAGCAGCCGCGGUAAUACGGAGGAUCCGAGCGUUGACCGGAUUUAAUGGGUUUAAAGGGAGCGUAGAUGGGGUGUUAAGUCAGUGGGGAAAGUUUGCGGCUCAACCGUAAAAUUGCAAUUGAUCCUGGCAGUCUUGAGUGCAGGUGAGGUAGGCGGAAUGCGUGGUGUAGCGGUGAAAUGCUUAGAUAUCACGAAGAACUCCGAUUGCGAAGGCAGCUUACUAGACUGCAACUGACAUUGAUGCACGAAAGUGUGGGUAUCAAACAGGAUUAGAUACCCGGGUAGGC
This 460-nucleotide ribosomal RNA is filed under the name uncultured bacterium. RNAcentral describes it as "partial 16S ribosomal RNA". It matches the Rfam family "Bacterial small subunit ribosomal RNA", at positions 338 to 795 of the family's 1533-position model. The record is from RNAcentral.